CCCACUGAACCAAGCAUUGGUGCAUCGUAGACGGGAUGCAACAAUUGGCAAGAAUCCAAUCUCUCCCUAGCAACAGAUUAUAAGCACCUUUUCCACUGAUCACGAAGAAAGUUGUCGGCAAGGUUUUGCUGCCGAUGGUCAACUCGACACAGAUCGCCCCCUUAACCGGAGACACAUUUCCUUCAAAGUCUUUUAGCAUCAUAUCGGUCUUGGUC
RNAcentral lists this long non-coding RNA (215 nucleotides) under Sorghum bicolor (sorghum). Its description in RNAcentral is "long non-coding RNA (SBIC_LNC008479)". Lineage: Eukaryota; Viridiplantae; Streptophyta; Magnoliopsida; Poales; Poaceae. The record is from RNAcentral.